Molecule: unclassified non-coding RNA, 470 nt
Filed under: Bombus terrestris (buff-tailed bumblebee)
Lineage: Eukaryota; Metazoa; Arthropoda; Insecta; Hymenoptera; Apidae
Description: misc RNA ENSBTSG00005038234.1
Source: RNAcentral
CGCUUGCCAAGAAAUUCCUCGCAAGCUCCGGACUCGUUUAAUAGCCAAGCUUCCUCGAUAUUGAAUGAACCAGAGUUGUUUUCCUCCUCGUUUGAAACGUCUCAUCCACUAUUUUUCUACUGCCAUCUCGUUUCUUCGGUUAGAUUUUACAGGUUUAGUAAUUACGUGUUUCUUAAACGCAAACAGGGUACACGAACGCCGCCAAUUUUUUCAACGAAACGGCGAAGCGACUUCGUAAAAAGUCUGGGUCGUUCGAAGAAAUUCUCUGCGCGAGAUCGAGCUUUGUUUCUCUGUCGUGAAACCUUGGUCUCCCGCAACCCUUUUCUUUGUGUAAAGGUGACAAAACGCCACGAUUAAGAACAGCCAGUCCAGCGAGGGUUCAACCGGAUGGCUGAUGACACGCCCGAGACCUCUUUCGAAUUAACCAGAGGAGUAGAGGGUCGUUUUUCAGCUUGACCGUGCACGCAUCG